Molecule: ribosomal RNA, 475 nt
Filed under: Scorpaenodes parvipinnis (lowfin scorpionfish)
Lineage: Eukaryota; Metazoa; Chordata; Actinopteri; Perciformes; Scorpaenidae
Description: partial small subunit ribosomal RNA
Rfam family: Bacterial small subunit ribosomal RNA
Source: RNAcentral
CACUAUGCCUAGCCCUAAACAUUGGUACUUCCACACACACCAUACCCGCCCGGGUACUACAAGCAUCAGCUUAAAACCCAAAGGACUUGGCGGUGCUUUAGACCCCCCUAGAGGAGCCUGUUCUAGAACCGAUAACCCCCGUUCAACCUCACCUCUUCUUGUUUACCCCGCCUAUAUACCGCCGUCGUCAGCUUACCCUGUGAAGGCCUAAUAGUAAGCACAAGUGGCACAGCCAAAAACGUCAGGUCGAGGUGUAGCGCAUGAAGAGGGAAGAAAUGGGCUACAUUCCCUAGCAUAGGGAAAACGGACUAUGUACUGAAACAUACACAUGAAGGAGGAUUUAGUAGUAAGUCAGGAACAAUAUGCCUCACUGAAACUGGCCCUGAAGCGCGCACACACCGCCCGUCACUCUCCCCAAGCCCAUUACUUCAACUAAUUAAAUCACCAACCACCGCGAAGGGGAGGCAAGUCGUAA